GCUUAAAGAGCAUAGGAGGUGUAAGGUCUUACUGGAGCAAUUUGGCAGUAAAGGGAAUCAGUACUCAAGCAGGAUUGAGGGGUUUAUGUGGCCCCUAUUCAUUUCUCAAGGGAAAGGAGCAGACACUGCUGUAGGCUUCGAAGGUACAUGUGAAUGUACUUAAGGAGUGCACAAGUCAUUUUAGGGACUUUGCAACUCAGGCGUUAUAUGCAAAAUUUUGUGUGUGCAUGGGAAAUAGGGAGUGGGAGAAAGAGAAUUUGUAGCUUUAUUAUUUUACAAAAGGUCGCUACGGAAAAGUUAAUAACCACUACUGAAAAGGAAGAGAAUAGACUGGAUGGGGGAGGGGGAUCAGAGGUCCAGAGAAGGACUAAGCUUUAGAAAGAAAAUGGAAAACCUCUUCCCCACCUAAGGGCUACAAACAGAUGGGAAAGUUAACAGUUGCAUCAUCUCAUUAAAAUGAGUAAUAAAAACAGAAGUGAAAACGGGGAAAGCUUGUGCAAAUACGAUCCAGAGGAGAAUGAAGAUGCCGUGCUGACUGGGUGGAAACGGCGCCUGGGGUCCUCAGCGGAGGUUUCAGCUUCAGCCUCUGCACAACGUCGCGGCCCUGGAGCAGGAGCAGUCUUGAAGCCUGCAUGGAAGGCACUGUUCUACAACCGACCAGACCGGGAGCGCGCAGGAUCUUAUCACAGUGCAAUCAUCACAGGCAGGGGGCUUAUCAGUGAGGCCUCUCAGGGACAAAAUGCUGAGGCUGCAGACUACCUCAGAGCUCCCCAGCUGCCACACUUUCCCUGCCGCACUAGGGACGAUGCCUCUAGACACUUCUCCUCCUGUCCUAGUUCUGAGUCAUCCGCUACGUUACGACAUCUUCCCUCCUACCCUCUAACCUGGCGCAAAGCCCACCCUCCCCCCGCGGACCGGAGCUCUCAUUCAUUCAACCAUGCAGGGUUUACGGAGCGACUUUUCGGGUGUAAGGCCCGUGAAGGGGCUGGGGCCGAGGUCCACUGGGUCUUUCAGGGUCCGUCCAAAACUCCAGAGUCGACCGGGGUCCAGGAGGUCGCUGCGGUCAUCCCUGGCGGAGAAGCGGGAUUGGAGCCAGCCCGCGUGCCCCAGCCACUUCCUAGUCUGGCACCCGGCCGAGCAGGGAGUGCCCAGCAGGGUCAGCCCCGGCCCCGCCGCCGCCGCGAGAUCCCGCGGGAACAGUGUUCUCGCGUCCGGGCCUCGAGGCUCUGAGCGCGGGUCCUAACGGCCGCCAGUAGUUUGACCUUGAGAGCCAGCGCCGCACCUACCCACACCACCGGAGGCGCCCGCAGCCUCCCAGGCACCAGUCUGGGUCCCAAAGUUGUUAGCUAACAUUCCCCCCGGUGCUUCUUCCGUAGCCAAUAGGAGAGCGAAGUGGUGAGGGCCAAUGGCAGCGGCCAAAGUAGC
RNAcentral lists this long non-coding RNA (1425 nucleotides) under Heterocephalus glaber (naked mole-rat). RNAcentral describes it as "lncRNA (ENSHGLG00100044567.1)". Lineage: Eukaryota; Metazoa; Chordata; Mammalia; Rodentia; Bathyergidae. The record is from RNAcentral.